RNAcentral lists this long non-coding RNA (266 nucleotides) under Gossypium barbadense (sea-island cotton). RNAcentral's name for it is "long non-coding RNA (GBAR_LNC018393)". The record is from RNAcentral. Lineage: Eukaryota; Viridiplantae; Streptophyta; Magnoliopsida; Malvales; Malvaceae.
CAAAAUGUCCUCCACCUUCUCGACUAUGACAAAAAUUAAGCACCGAUUCUAUUUCACUAUCAUCGACACAACACCUAAUUAUUUGGUCACCACAAAAUCGCCAAAGGUAUGGCUCUUCCCAUAAGUAAAAUCGGGCUUGACUUCUAAUUUUUUCUUUCAAAUGUCUAGGUGCAUUCGUAGGAAACUGUCUAGUCACUAAGUAGUUCACUAUGUCGGCAUACCAUGGAAAAGUACUAGACACACUAUAAAGUCACUCAUCGGAAAAU